CAGAGUGCACUUAUAGAAGGAUUGGCGUUGUCGUGAUAGUAACUGUCUUGUUGACGACAUCGGUUGUUUUGGGAACAUGGACUUAUUUCAACAACAAUGUUCGGGACGUUCAAAAGACAAGGGAUACCACCAACGCUAGUCAGCCUGCUUUGAACACUACCUACACUCAUGGUCAUCGUGAUUUGGACGCUACCUACACCCAUGGCCAGAAUGCUGCGGACAGUACCUUUACCCAUGGUCAGCUUGAUGUGGACAUUACCUACACCAUUGAUACCGCUGUUACGGGCACUACCUACAUCCCUGCUCCUAAGAAGAAGUGGAGAGACGACUUGCGAUGCGGCCAGGGUUACCCUGCAGAUGAUGGUAACCCUGCUGAAUGUGAUCCUGACGGUAAACGUCGAUGCUGCUCCGAUGCAAACUGGUGCGGGUACUCGCUUUACCACUGUGACUGCCGCGGCUGUGUUAACUACGGAAAGAACAUCAAGAAAACAAGAGAAUGCAGGACGAUUGAGACGGAUUCCGGGCCUCAGGUUUUCUGUACACUUGAUUGAAAGGAAAUCCCUCCAAGACAUCUGUUGAUUCAAUUAUAUAAAUGAGUUUCUCCCAAAAAGUAAAUAUUAGGAGAAGGUGGGAAAUGUUUUUGUUUGAAAACACUUUCAAUCAACAAUGCCAUUCUUCGCCAUAAGUAUCCAUUUUUCGAUUUUGUUUUUAAAUUUUCAUCAUGUAUUGAACCUUUUAACUGUUGAUUUGUGCGAUUGACAAUAUGGUAAUAUUUAGAACGGGCGAAAAUUAGCGCCCUGUGAGAUGAGAUGUUCUCCAAAUAUAAUCGAAUCGACAAGGCGCCCUUAUGUGAAAUAAGUGCUUUUGAAAAAGCUGACGUUUGCCCUUUAUAGUACCUAAAUUUGGUACAAAAUGCCACCAAUCGCGUAAAUGAUGACCAUUGGAAAUCAGAAAACAGCCCCAUAUUUAUACAUAAACACGAAACGCUUGCUUAUU
This is a long non-coding RNA of Branchiostoma floridae (Florida lancelet), 996 nucleotides long. RefSeq lists it as uncharacterized. NCBI's taxonomy places the organism in Eukaryota, Metazoa, Chordata, Leptocardii, Amphioxiformes, Branchiostomatidae. The record is from RefSeq and is a predicted model, not a curated record. The transcript is spliced from 3 exons.